This 105-nucleotide small nuclear RNA is filed under the name Spermophilus dauricus (Daurian ground squirrel). The record is from RNAcentral. Lineage: Eukaryota; Metazoa; Chordata; Mammalia; Rodentia; Sciuridae.
CUGUUUCUUUUCAGCAGCACAUAUACUAAAAUUGGAACAAUACAGAAAUUAGCAUGGCCCCUGCGCAAGGAUGACAUGCAAAUUCGUGAAGCGUUCCAUAUUUUU